Molecule: long non-coding RNA, 776 nt
Organism: Coregonus clupeaformis (lake whitefish)
Lineage: Eukaryota; Metazoa; Chordata; Actinopteri; Salmoniformes; Salmonidae
Exons: 4
Source: RefSeq, a predicted model, not a curated record
UGUCUCAAACGGUCCUGCGGUUUUAUCUGCCUAACGGUAUCUUCACGCACGACUGGAUAGGCCUUUUGGAUACGCUUGUCCAAGGCCCAAGACAUAAAGUAGCCUGCAAUCAUUCCAUUGCUGACCCAUCGGAUGGUUAUCACAUAGAGGAUUGGCUUAAUCUAGAAUCAUGGAUACCUUUCAUGUGAGUACUCACACACCAGAUUUUUUACAUACCUCAGAAGGACCAACUGGGAUUGCAAUAUCUGGAGGCACUGUCUCAUGUACAAUUGUUAAUGUUAUCUCUGAAAUGUCUAACAAAAUGUUGACUUGACCGUUUCAUCAAGAUCUGUGCAUCACAAGUUGGAACUAGUGGUCAAAAUUGGGACAAUGUUGCCCAAAAUAAAUGUUUUCAUGGAGUGAACAAGACCUGCCAACAGAGCUCACUGGAGCAGGGAGACAUCCCGUCAUCCCUUCGGCACCUGACAAAGUACACUUUUUUCUUCUAAAUAACACUAUAGUAACAUCUUCUGCACAAAGGUACAUUCCUAAUAAGAUUGGUGUUAAGUGAGAAAGAAUCCUAAAGAUGGUCCAAUGGGCAUUGUCUGAAGCCUCUCAUCACCUCAGUAUGUUGAACCACCUGAUUUCCUAUAGGAUUCAGAUCCUGCUGAACGAUGUUAAGCAGUCGAUUAACCACAUGCAGGGGAAGCUGAACACCAUGCAGGGGCAGUGUAUUGAGUUGCAGACUGCCAUAUCUAAGAUCAUCCCAGCAGCCGACGUUGCUGUACAGAGUGGGG